RNAcentral lists this ribosomal RNA (496 nucleotides) under uncultured bacterium. RNAcentral describes it as "partial 16S ribosomal RNA". It matches the Rfam family "Bacterial small subunit ribosomal RNA", at positions 29 to 507 of the family's 1533-position model. The record is from RNAcentral.
AUGAACGCUGGCGGCGUGCCUAAUACAUGCAAGUCGAGCGAACAGACGAGGAGCUUGCUCCUCUGACGUUAGCGGCGGACGGGUGAGUAACACGUGGAUAACCUACCUAUAAGACUGGGAUAACUUCGGGAAACCGGAGCUAAUACCGGAUAAUAUAUUGAACCGCAUGGUUCAAUAGUGAAAGACGGUUUUGCUGUCACUUAUAGAUGGAUCCGCGCCGCAUUAGCUAGUUGGUAAGGUAACGGCUUACCAAGGCAACGAUGCGUAGCCGACCUGAGAGGGUGAUCGGCCACACUGGAACUGAGACACGAUCCAGACUCCUACGGGAGGCAGCAGUAGGGAAUCUUCCGCAAAGGGCGAAAGCCUGACGGAGCAACGCCGCGUGAGUGAUGAAGGUCUUCGGAUCGUAAAACUCUGUUAUUAGGGAAGAACAAAUGUGUAAGUAACUAUGCACGUCUUGACGGUACCUAAUCAGAAAGCCACGGCUAACUACGUG